CUAUUCCUUUGGUUCUAUUUAUUGGUAGUGCAAAUGCAUUUCUGCUAAUUAUUUCCCCUUUGGUUUUAUUUAUUGGACAUACAUAUGUAUUAAUGUUAAUUAGAUAAAAUAUUUCUUGGAUAAAAAAAUCUGAUAUCAACUCACAGGCUGCCUUUUAUAUGUGGCUUCUCUGAAUCCUUAAUUAGCCAUCCCGCUGGGAGUCGUUUCCUUUGGUUCUAUUUAUUGGUAGUGCAAAUGCAUUUCUGCCAGUUAUUUCCCCUUUGGUUUUGUUUAUUGGACAUACAUAUGCAUUAAUGUUAAUUAGAUAAAAUAUUUCUUGGAUAAAAAAAUCUGAUAUCAACUCUUAUUGUAUUUAAAAAAAAAUCUACUAUUUUUUUUCAAUAAUUAAAAAAUAAUCUGCUAUUAACUAUUCUGAAGUUUUGAGCCUCUGAGAUGGAUUUUAUUUUACCACUUGCUAAAGAUCUUUCUAGUAAAAAUAAUCAAGAAGUAAGAGAUUUGCUGCUAUGAGCAUCAUUUGAAGUUUUGAGUAGUUUUGCUUUUCGAUAAAAAAAAAUUGUUUCUAGAAGAACAAGAAUGUUAUCAGAAAUGUGGAGAAAAUAGUUCAACGAGAAGAUAAGAUAUCCUAAGAAAAACUAAAUACAACAAAACAAAGAAAUUUUAAUAUGAGGGGCAGGUCAGUUCCUACGCUGGAGAAAACCAUGAAAGACAAGAUGAGCCUUAAACAUAAUAUAGACGAUAAAGUUAAUCUAUCUCAAAGAAGCUGGAGAUUUUGUAAAUGACUUUUUAAAAUUCUGGCAUUCUUUUCCAAUCGAAAGAGCUACUUUAGUUAGUUCGAAUUAUGCUAUUCCUAUGAAGAGAUGCUUUCUUGUUAGCAAGCGGGGGCAUAAUUGUGUAAUUUAUGUGUUCAUUACGGUUGAAUUUUUAGUAAAGUUAAUAAACAGUCUGGGUGUUUCAUGACAGAUAUUCUGUCUUUUGCUGGUUUUGGCAGACUGGAUAUUGCAUGUUUCUGUUGUAUAUCCAGUUCAAUCAACUCUGAUACUGAUUUUACCAUUGAUAUUUUGGCAGUCUCAUGCUGGGAAAGUUGUUGAGAGGCACUGGUAUGAAAAGAAUAAGCAUAUCUUCCCUGCUUCAAGAUGGGAGAUAUACGAUCCAACAAAGAAAUGGGAGCGUUACACCAUACAUGGCGACUGAUGGUCAAACAAACAAUUUUCCUUCUAUUGGAAUCUGCUUGAACAGCUGUACUCAGCUUAUGUAUUUGUAUCUUUAAUUUUAAUGUAGGCUUAGGAUUUGGAGCCGGGGGGAGGCCCUUUGCAAUCUGAGUUUUGUUCGAUUUAUGGACUUUUCUUGGAAACUAGUUGUAUGAAAAUUGACAACAUUUUUAUUGACUCCAUAAAUUAAUUCCUUCUCUUGUGUUU
Non-coding RNA from Carica papaya (papaya), 1415 nucleotides. The record is from RefSeq and is a predicted model, not a curated record. Lineage: Eukaryota; Viridiplantae; Streptophyta; Magnoliopsida; Brassicales; Caricaceae.